This 461-nucleotide ribosomal RNA is filed under the name uncultured bacterium. RNAcentral's name for it is "partial 16S ribosomal RNA". It matches the Rfam family "Bacterial small subunit ribosomal RNA", at positions 338 to 795 of the family's 1533-position model. The record is from RNAcentral.
CCUACGGUGUGCAGCAGUGAGGAAUAUUGGUCAAUGGGCUUACGCCUGAACCAGCCAAGUCGCGUGAGGGAAGACUGCCCUAUGGGUGGUAAACCUCUUUGGUCAGGGAGCAACGCCGGCUAGGUGUAGCCGGACUGAAGGUACCUGAAGAAAAAGCAUCGGCUAACUCCGUGCCAGCAGACGCGGGAAUACGGAGGAUGCGAGCGUUAUCCGGAUUGAUUGGGUGUAAAGGGUGCGUAGGCGGAAGACCAAGUCAGCGGUAAAAUCGAGGGGCUCAACCUAGCUCCGCCGUUGAAACUGGCGUUCUUGAGUGGGCGAGAAGUAUGCGGAAUGCGUGGUGUAGCGGUGAAAUGCAUAGAUAUCACGCAGAACUCCGAUUGCGAAGGCAGCAUACCGGCGCCCAACUGACGCUGAAGCACGAAAGCGUGGGUAUCGAACAGGAUUAGAUACCCCGAGUAGUC